This 443-nucleotide ribosomal RNA is filed under the name uncultured bacterium. RNAcentral describes it as "partial 16S ribosomal RNA". It matches the Rfam family "Bacterial small subunit ribosomal RNA", at positions 338 to 795 of the family's 1533-position model. The record is from RNAcentral.
CCUACGGGAGGCAGCAGUGGGGAAUAUUGGUCAAUGGGCGCAAGCCUGACCCAGCAAAGCCGCGUGAAGGAAGAAGGCCCUCGGGUUUGUAACUUCUUUUAUCCAAGACGCAACAAAUGACGGUACCUGAUGACUAAGCCACGGCUAACUACGGGCCAGCAGCCGCGGUAAUACGUAGGUGGCAGUCGUUAUCCGGAUUUACUGGGUGUCAAGGGCGUUUAGGCGGGAGUGCAAGUCAGACGUGAAAUUCCAGGGCUUAAACCUGGAACUGCGUUUGAAACUGGUCGUCUUGAGUGCUGGAGAGGCAGGCGGAAUGCCGUGUGUAGCGGUGAAAGGCGUAGAUAUACGGCGGAACACCAGUGGCGAAGGCAGCCUGCUGGACAUUAACUGACGCUGAGGCGCGAAAGCGUGGGGAGCGAACAGGAUUAGAUACCCCGGUAGUC